This is a long non-coding RNA of Bombyx mori (domestic silkworm), 1115 nucleotides long. RefSeq lists it as uncharacterized. NCBI's taxonomy places the organism in Eukaryota, Metazoa, Arthropoda, Insecta, Lepidoptera, Bombycidae. The record is from RefSeq and is a predicted model, not a curated record. The transcript is spliced from 2 exons.
UUAUUAUUCAUCUGAGUCAAUUGUCGACAGACGUCUGACCACGCGGCCGUUUAAUUAAUUUUUUUUUUUUUUUUUUUUUUAUUUAUAAACACGCCACGUUAACUAGUACCAUGAUAAGUUCGUAAAGAACUUGUGUUACAGGUACCAGAUAACGGAAAUAAAUACGUCUGAGCACGCGGCCUUCCGGCACCCGUUUGAUUAACAUUAUCAAAUCUUCAUCAUGAUCAAAAUGCGCAGAGCAAGAACGCUUCAUAUUCGACUUAUCCAGUCCCCAAGAAGGGUAAAGGACCUCUUGUGAGUCCGCGCGGGUAGGUACCACUACCCUGCUUAUUUCUGCCGUGAAGCAGUAAUUCGUUUCGGUUUGAAGGGCGGGACAGCCGCUGUAACUAUACUUGAGACCUUAGAACUUAUAUCUCAAGGUGGGUGGCGCAUUUACGUUGUAGAUGUCUGUUAGCCCGUCCAACCACCUAAGCAAUAAAUAAAAAAUAAAAAAUUUGGUCGUCUUCAAUUCAGUCGAUGACGGCACAAGCGCGACUCCAUGUCAAGCCGCUGAGCUGAAGACCUCCUGAUAACACUAGUGCCGGUAACGAAAUUAAUGACGGCAUACGUAAUCAGGAGUAACCUCCUCCGCUCCCAGAGCCCAAGAUCAUGUCUCUGGUAUCUCGAAACUACAAAAAAAAUAUCCAUUUCAACAACUAAAAUCGUAUACCUAGAUUAAAACAGAUUUGAUACAUCAUCAUCAUCAUCAUCAUUAUCCUGCCCUUCUCCCAGUUACCUGGGGUCGGCGCAUCAUGUUUUCUCCUUCCAUACUCUUCUAUCAUAUACCAUUUCUUCGCUCACUCCCCUCUUACCCGUAUCGUCUUUCACGCAAUCCAUCCAUUUCUUCUUAGGUCUACCUCUUCCUCUAUAUCCUUCCACAUUCAUAGAUUUGACACAAACACAAUUUAUUUUGUAUGAAAAAAAAACAAAUUGUUCUUCUAUUGAGAGGCAAAAAGAACCUUUGAUAUUGCCUAUCGCAUAUUUUGUGUGGCUUAAUAAUUUCUAAUACAAUCUACAAGUAGAUUUUACAAUACCCAUUUUGAAAUACAUUUAUACAAUACAUUAUUUGUAGCUGU